RNAcentral lists this ribosomal RNA (446 nucleotides) under uncultured bacterium. Its description in RNAcentral is "bacterial SSU rRNA". It matches the Rfam family "Bacterial small subunit ribosomal RNA", at positions 29 to 507 of the family's 1533-position model. The record is from RNAcentral.
AACGAACGCUGGCGGCAGGCUUAACACAUGCAAGUCGAAGGUGAAGCAGGACUUCGGUCCUGUGGAAACUGGCGCACGGGUGAGUAACGCGUGGGAAUCUACCCCGGGGUGGGGAAUAACCACUGGAAACGGUGGCUAAUACCGCAUACGCCUUGAGAGGGAAAGCUUUAUGCGCCCUGGGAUGAGCCCGCGUCGGAUUAGUUUGUUGGUGGGGUAACGGCCUACCAAGGCUACGAUCCGUAGCUGGUCUGUGAGGAUGAUCAGCCACACUGGGACUGAGACACGGCCCAGACUCCUACGGGAGGCAGCAGUGAGGAAUAUUGGACAAUGGGGGAAACCCUGAUCCAGCCAUGCCGCGUGCGUGAAGAAGGCCUUAGGGUUGUAAAGCGCUUUCAACGGGGAAGAUGAUGACGGUACCCGUAGAAGAAGCCCCGGCUAACUCCGUG